Molecule: regulatory RNA element, 104 nt
Organism: Corynebacterium marinum DSM 44953
Lineage: Bacteria; Bacillati; Actinomycetota; Actinomycetes; Mycobacteriales; Corynebacteriaceae
Rfam family: mraW RNA
Source: Rfam
GGGCGGAGUGCGUGUAAGGACUCUGCCCGAGGUGAUGCUCUGGUGUACUUCCCCGACAUCAGAUGGACACAUCGGGCAGGGCCCUGUACGCGCCCCGCAUCGUG